This 768-nucleotide ribosomal RNA is filed under the name uncultured organism. RNAcentral's name for it is "bacterial SSU rRNA". It matches the Rfam family "Bacterial small subunit ribosomal RNA", at positions 38 to 825 of the family's 1533-position model. The record is from RNAcentral.
AGCGGCGCGCUUAAUGCAUGCAAGUCGAGCGAUGAGGCCCUCUUCGGGGGGUACAUCAGCGGCAGACGGGUGAGUAACACGUAGGUGAUCUACCCCAGAGACGGGGAUAACGGGUGGAAACAUCCGCUAAUACCGGAUAGACUUGUUCGGUCAAAGGGACAAGGAAAGGCUCCGGCGCUCUGGGAGGAGCCUGCGGCCCAUCAGCUAGUUGGCGGGGUAACGGCCCACCAAGGCAAAGACGGGUAGGGGGUGUGAGAGCAUGGCCCCCCACAAUGGGACUGGAACACGGCCCAUACUCCUACGGGAGGCAGCAGCAGGGAAUAUUGCACAAUGGACGGAAGUCUGAUGCAGCGACGCCGCGUGGAUGAAGAAGGCCCUCGGGUUGUAAAACCCUUUACAGGGGGAAGAGGAAGGACGGUACCCCUGGAACAAGUGUCGGCUAACUACGUGCCAGCAGCCGCGGUAAGACGUAGGACACAAGCGUUAUCCGGAUUUACUGGGCGUAAAGCGUCUGCAGGCGGACAGGUAAGUUGGGCGUGAAAGCUCCGGGCCCAACCCGGAGAGGUCGUUCAAUACUGCGUGUCUAGAGGGUGUCAGAGGGGAGUGGAAUUUCCGGAGUAGCGGUAAAAUGCGCAGAGAUCGGAAAGAACACCAAUGGCGAAGGCAGGUCCCUGGGGCAAACCUGACGCUAAGAGACGAAAGCUAGGGGAGCGAACAGGAUUAGAGACCCUGGUAGUCCUAGCCCUAAACGAUGGAUGCUGGAUGUGG